UACGAAGGGAGCUAGCGUUGUUCGGAAUUACUGGGCGUAAAGGGCGCGUAGGCGGCCGAUUAAGUCAGAUGUGAAAGCCCCGGGCUCAACCUGGGAAUUGCAUAUGAUACUGAUUGGCUAGAGGACGAGAGAGGAAAACGGAAUUGUGAGUGUAGAGGUGAAAUUCGUAGAUAUUCACAAGAACACCAGUGGCGAAGGCGGUUUUCUGGCUCGUAUCUGACGCUAAGGCGCGAAAGCGUGGGGAGCAAACAGG
Molecule: ribosomal RNA, 253 nt
Filed under: uncultured bacterium
Lineage: Bacteria
Description: partial 16S ribosomal RNA
Rfam family: Bacterial small subunit ribosomal RNA
Source: RNAcentral